GGCUGGCUCAAUGGUAGAGUGCCUGACUACGAAUCAGGAGGGUAAGACCUCCGAGCACACUCGCAUCCAUCAACA
Molecule: non-coding RNA, 75 nt
Organism: Elasticomyces elasticus
Lineage: Eukaryota; Fungi; Ascomycota; Dothideomycetes; Mycosphaerellales; Teratosphaeriaceae
Source: the annotation of a GenBank genome assembly